This 459-nucleotide ribosomal RNA is filed under the name uncultured Nitrospiraceae bacterium. RNAcentral describes it as "bacterial SSU rRNA". It matches the Rfam family "Bacterial small subunit ribosomal RNA", at positions 923 to 1382 of the family's 1533-position model. The record is from RNAcentral. Lineage: Bacteria; Pseudomonadati; Nitrospirota; Nitrospiria; Nitrospirales; Nitrospiraceae.
GCACAAGCGGUGGAGCAUGUGGUUUAAUUCGACGCUACGCGAAGAACCUUACCUGGGCUUGACAUGUAAGUGGUAAGAACCCGAAAGGGGAUGACUUGGGGAACUCCUUGAGCUUACACAGGUGCUGCAUGGCUGUCGUCAGCUCGUGCCGUGAGGUGUUGGGUUAAGUCCCGCAACGAGCACAACCCCUAUCCUCUGUUGGUCCGCAAGGAUCUCUCUGAGGAAACUGCCAGCGAUGAGCUGGAGGAAGGUGGGAUGACGUCAAGUCAUCAUGGCCCUUACGUCCAGGGCGACACACGUGCUACAAUGGCAGCUACAGAGGGUCGCAAUACCGCGAGGUGGAGCCAAUCCCUAAAAGCUGUCUCAGUUGGGAUCGGAGUCUGCAACUCGACUCCGUGAACGCGGAAUCGCUAGUAAUCGUGGAUCAGCCAUGCCACGGUGAAUACGUUCCCGGGCCUU